Belonocnema kinseyi is the source of this 1350-nucleotide long non-coding RNA. RefSeq lists it as uncharacterized. The record is from RefSeq and is a predicted model, not a curated record. The transcript is spliced from 2 exons. Lineage: Eukaryota; Metazoa; Arthropoda; Insecta; Hymenoptera; Cynipidae.
UCCAGAUUCUAAGAGAAGUACUACUAGGUUCACAUACAUGGUCGAUGCAGGGGGCUGAUUUUUAUAAAAAAGUGGAAAUACGUUUGAUUAUGGAGAAAAAUUCUGGAUAAUAAAGUGCAAGUCCUUUACAUGUACCUGUGGUGCUGAGAACUGUCGAUAUUCGGAAAAAACCAUCCAAGUUACCCUGGAUAAUUAUCGUAAAAGAACUUAGCAAGAAGAAAUUCUUGUUGCUCAAAUAUGCUAAUUGUAGCUAUACUAAACCUUAUUUAUACGAUGUUUGCCUUAUGAAAGUAAGAUUCGCAAAAACGAGAAAACAGAUAAAUGUGUGAGAAGAUGCUUAAUUUGGAGAUACGAAUGUUUUUAAAACGAUUUGAUAAAAUGUAAGAUUUAAUUGCAUAUGAGGCACAUCAUGAUUAGACUCAUUGUUAUUAUUAUAUUGUAAUAAUUAAGGGCAAAAGGUUUCACUUUAUACGAGAAUCUAUUACGCCGUGUAUAUUCAAAUGCCAAAUCACUUGUAUUACUUAUUACAUUUUUAUUGAAAGUGUUCUAGUAUUAAGUCAACUGUAAUUAUUUUAUCGCUUUUAGUUAGAAAGCCUAACAAUUUUGAUUACAAAAGGUGAGUAAUUUAUCUGUACAGUUAAAGGGUAACUUUUAAUGUUGUAAAUCAUUGUAAAUAUCGCUAGCGGUCAAAUGCUGUGGGUAAGGAAAACAUGCAGUGCUUAUAAAAUUUAACCUUACGACAUAGCUGCAGACUCUGUUUCUAGUAUAAUCGUAUCGGAUGCUUACAUCUAUUUUGGUACUAAAAUUGCUGUCUCUGAGUUUUAUUAAUUUGUUCGAUAACAAUUAUUCUGUAAACAAUGAAUCAAACCGAUUUUCGUGUGUUAAUCAAACACCGUUUUUGAUGGGUAAAAAUACUGUUCAAUAUCCUAAGAGUUUUCAAGCCAUUGCUGAGCUUGAAUGGUAUUUUUACCCAUCAAAAAAGAGUGUUUGAUUAACACACAAAACUCGUUUUGAUUAAUUGUUUACAGAAUAAAAAAAGUGGCGUCACUUAACCUUCAAUAUCUGGAAAAUGACGGAGCCAAAUGUCAUGCAAUUUUUACACUUAUCUUUUGAAGGUUGGUACUACCGAAAACAAAAGCGGCAGGGCAUUGGCGACACCAGCUAUGUGUCUGUCCCGGGACUUAAUGACCCAUGUAUUAUGUGAAUGAGAAAUAUGCGUAAAAUGUGCCAUAUUUUAUUUGUACAUUUCUGCGAAGCACGUCUUCCAUGAAUUGAUUGGUGUCCGAACAGGAUCUGAGUGAUUAACUUAUUUUUCUAUCUUUGAAUAGUAAAAUGCUUUAUUUUUGAACA